RNAcentral lists this long non-coding RNA (6238 nucleotides) under Sus scrofa (pig). Its description in RNAcentral is "lncRNA (ENSSSCG00050065889.1)". The record is from RNAcentral. Lineage: Eukaryota; Metazoa; Chordata; Mammalia; Artiodactyla; Suidae.
CACUAUGCUUUACGUUAUGCGUACAUAUGUCGUGUACCAUAAAUACAGGGAAGUAGGUAGGAAAUAACAAUCACUAUUCCAGGUUAUAUUGAAAUAAUUUUAUAAAAACUAUUUUAGUGUUUGCCAUUGCUAAGCAAAAGGUGUGCUUUAAUUUAGGCAGCAAACAUGCUUCUAAAACAUUUAAACAAGAAUCAUAUUCUGAAACAAACAUCUCUAUUGUUCAAAGGGUUGCUGCCUCCCCUAAGGGAACUAAAGUUAAACAAACAGAAAACUGGAUGUUUUUGAUGUAUAUCAACAUUACCCCAGGGACAAAAAUCCCAGGCAUUGGUGACCCAUUCAUUUUUUCUAUUCUUCAAUCCUCUUCCUCCCAUUUCUGGAAAAUAUUUCUUUCUACACUCUUGAAUUUGUUUUUGUUUUUUUUUUUUUAAUUUGUGUACCGACUUGGAAUUCCACCACAUAGACACAUGCUCAAAUGAAUUUAAGUAUUAUUUUGAAAGUAAAAUACUCAUUGAAAGGAUGACAGUAUUCGAAAUUAUUCCUUACUGCAAAUUAGCUGAUUCAAAUAGUUGUUCUUGACGCAUGGCUGGGACUGUCUGCACUGAGAGAACAGGGUUUGGAGUGAAGAAAGGAAUCAUUCAUGAGCACCAUCAUGGUGCGGCAAAAGCUGGGCAGGUUCCACAGAGAAGGCCAUGGAUGGGACCUGGCUAAAGGGUGAGGUGCAAGGAGUAGAAGUACAGAUGAAAAAUUAGCAACUAGCAGAGAUUGUAACUGUCUGGGGCCAUGAGUGUAAGUGAACUGACUUUUCUCUUUCCUCUCUCUGCAGCACCAGUCUCCUGCUCUGGGCACCCCAAAUUCAGGCCAGUGUAAUUGCUACCAUUUUUCAGCCACAGUGGAGCUUAAUAGGCCUUUGUGGGAUAAUCUGAGUUCUAACUACUGUUUAUUUGAUAAAAAUAUAGGCUGAACCCCAAACCACCAAUUUACAGACUUUAGUCAUGGGUAUCAACAGAGGAAUGACUUGCGGAAUCUUUGCCUUGAAUGACAUGCAGGAACUUUCCGUCUUCCAUCCAGAUUGACAUCCUGAUGCAAGGUGUCUCUUUUCUUCAAACCUCAGAUGUUCUCUACACAGGUAUAGACAGUAGAAAUAUUUAUUAAAUAAAUUCUGUGAUGAAAAAUGCUAUUCCUCUCAUUUGAAUACUACCUCCUCAAGGUAGCUGUGUGAAAGACAAAACUGAUUAUUUUUAGAAAUGGCUGUAUUUUAAGGCAGUUACCGCAGGACGAUGGAAUUCUUAGGUGGAGAAUAAACUCUUUUGAUUGAGAAAAUUUCCCAGUGGUUUUAAGAUAAGCACCACCGCCCCCCCCCAAGCCCCAACUAUGCCUCGUAAAGUCUGUAGGAGAUAGUGUGGAACAGGGAACAAAGAGAGAGCCAACUUUCUUCCUAGUAGGAAGUAACAAGAACUUGGGUGUUGGAUGCUGGCCACUUGGGUAGGGUGGUGGGAAAAAGAUAAGACAGGAGAAGGAUCUCUGUAGAGACUAGAAGACUUGCACUUUGACAGAAUUUAGAACUUAAGGAGAUAAAUGGCUUAUGAGAAACUCCAGACUGUGGUGGUUGUGGAAUAUCAGUAGUAUGAUGUCUAAAAUCUAAUCGUAAGUUUUUUUCCUUUCCCCUUACUCAUACUCAGAGCUAAGUAAAAGGGGGCUAUAUGCAGGGGCCGUAGAUGGACCAAGAGAAGGCUUGUGUAGAGGUUCUUUGGGAAAGGUCAGGGAAAGGACAGGGGAAACAGAGUGAAACAAGGAUGGCCAUUGGGGGAGAUGAGUCAGGAGGAGAAAUUUGGAACAAAUAGUAAUCAGAAAACAAGUUCCUCGGAAAUCCUUUAACAAUGUGAAGGCCCUGAUAGUCCCUAGCAUAUGGGAUAAGGGCUUGAACUGUUUUCUUUGGGACAUUAAAAGAAAUUUAACCCCAGGAGGCUGGAAGACUAGGAAAAACAAAUUAUAAAUGUAAAUUUUGCUUUCAUGUAUUGAGUUUUCAACAUUAAAAACUUGCAUCUUGAUGAUAAAGUUCCUAUUUUCCAUUAAUUUAUUUUGGUGCCUCUUUUCUAAAAGAGAUUUUCUGAAUUCUUUGACUUUCAAAAUCCAGGCUGAAUGAAUUAUUUCUCUGCAGUCAGUAUGGGGGCCUUCUUGCCAUUUGUAUGCCAUUCCCUCCGCCCUGAUAUAGUGAGACCCUUUAUGUCUGUGUAUUUAACUCUACAUCCAGCACCUUAUGCUGGGCAGGAAAUGUGUGCUGGGAAGCAGCCUAGGCUAGUGGUAGAGGGCACAGAUGCUGGAACCAAACAGUUCAAGUCCCUUUUGUCUCCUCCACUUAUAAACUAUACAUCUUAGGUAAGUUACUUAAACUUUCUGUGCCUUGAAAUGUCCCCAUUUAAAGGAAGAUCAUAAUAGCACCUACACAGUAUGAGGAUUCUAUGAGUUGCAAAUGUAAAGGACUCAGAAGGAUGUCUGACAUUCAGUAAAUAUUAACUUACUAUCAUCACAAAAUAAAAGUUUUAUGGGAAUAUUUAUUGAGUGGCUAAGAACAGGAUCUAUUGCUGAGUUCCAAGAAUUAUUUUCUGUCUUUAUGGAAACUAAAACUGUGCAUCUAGGUGGAUCCACAAAUAAAUUAUUUUGACUGAGAGAUUCCUGAAGUUGGGAACCACAUCUUCCCUAGGCUGUUAUGACAGGACUCAGUGCUUCUGUGCAAAGGAAGGAGAGUACCACUUUGUGUGCAGAGGAAGGAGAGUACCACUUUGUGAUGGUCAAAGUAGCUUCAGUUUGGUUUUGAUCUUGUGGAGUGUGCAGAGAAAUUACAUUAUUUAUCAUAAUCCAGAUCAUAAGAGAAGUAUGGAGGAGAAUAAUACUGUCCUCAGAUAGUAAGAAAGCCCAUUUUAAAAUACUGUUUCUAUGUUUGUGGGUAGUAUAGCCUAAUAUGCCAAAUUCAAGACAGUCAGAACUUGGGGAAAAAUGGAAUAUAAAGGCAUGACAUUGAAAAAAGAUAUGUCUGGAUUCAAGAUAGAUUUUGGUAUUUACUAAUUCUGAGUCCUUGUGCAUAAUCACCCAUCUAUCUAUCACCUGACUCAGGAUUUAUUUAUUAAUUUAUUUGUUUGUUUUUUUGCUUUUUAGGGCUGCAUAUAGAAAUUCCCAGGCUAGGGGUUGCAUUGGAGCUACAGCGGCACCUACACCACAGUCAUAGCAUCACCAGAUCUGAACCACAUCUGUGAUCUACACCACAGCUCACGGCAACUUCAGAUCCCUGACCCAAUGAGCGAGGCCAAGAUCAAAUUCGCAUCCACAUGGAUCCUAGUCAGAUUCAUUUCUGCUGUGCCACAAAGGGAACUCCCUGAUUCAGAAAUGAUUUAGAAGCAACUUACAAACUGAUAUUUAAAAGACGUAGUCAAGGUCAAAGACAAAGGAUAAAAUUGGAAAAAGUAGUUGGGUCAUAUAUGACAUAAAAAUAGCUCUUAUCAUUGACAAUUGACAUUCUGACAAAUUGGAGUUCCCGUUGUAGCGCAGAGGAAAUGAAUCUGACUAGCAACCAUAAGGUUGAAGAUUUGAUCCCAGGCCUUGCUCAGUGGGUUAAGAAUCCAGUGUUGCUGUGAGCUGUGGUGUAGUUUGCAGAUAUGGCAGGGACCUGGCCUUGCUGUGGCUGUGGUGUAGACCUGCAGUUAUAGCUCCAAUUAGACCCCUAGCCUGGGAACCUCCAUAUNCUGACAAAUUAGUAAGAGAAUGAACAACCCAAAGGGAAUAGACAAAGGACAUGAAUAAUCAAUAAAGGAAGAAAUAACAUGUGAAAUGAUAUCUAAUCUCAAGAAUAGUCAAAGAAAUAGAAACUAAGGCAAAAGUGAAAUUUGAAAUUUUCUUUAUUAAAUUGGUACUGAUUUUAUUUACUUUUUUAAGAGUAAGCUAUUUCAUUUUUCUUUAUGUAUAUAUAAUAUAUAUAAUUAUUAAAGUGUAGUUGAUAUACAGUGUUGUACCAGUUUCUGCUGUACUGUGUAGUGACACACACACACACACACACACAUACACAUUAUCUUUUCUCAUAUUAUCUUCCAUCAUGGUCUGUCUAUCCCAAGAGAUUGUAUAUAGUUCCCUGUGUUGUACAGAGGACCUCAUUGCUUAUCCAUUCUAAAGGUAAUAACUUUGCACCUAUCAACCCCAGACUCCAUAUCCAUCCCACUCCCUCCCCUCUCCCGCUUUACAACCACAAGUCUGUUCCCUAUGUUUGUCUGUUUGUGUUUUGUAGAUAGGUCCAUUUGUGUCAUGCUUUUUACUAUGCUAUACACUGGGUGAGGGCCCAGAAAAUAACUAUACAAGGGUGCUUGUAAGAAAAUCAUAAAUAAAAAGGUCAUAAGCCAUCUACCUGAAUAAAUUCUGCAUCCAAUUUGGCCAACAUUUUUGAAUACUUCUUGGGUACGGAGAAUAGGUCAUCCACUGUGCUCUGGGUGCCUACCAUCGCUGCAGGAGACCCACACACAGGACCCAACCACCCAUAUGAGGCAGAAUAAAACAAGUGCUAUGAAAACAGAAGAAAUAAAAAAUUCUCACUGACUCAGAAAUCUGAGUAAACCUCUAUCUUAAGUGCUUAAUUCUUCGGUCACCACUCAUGCGCUUUGUCACAGUGGACGUGUGACAAAGGGAGGUUUGGAUGUCAGUCUUCCAUCUGUACAUAUAAGCCCCAUUCCCCCCAAAAUUGCAUGAGAUAGGCUGCAUUGUCUCUUGGUGCCGUGUCUGGAGCCAGCUCGUGGUAGAGUCUAGACAAGAGGCCCUCCUUUGAGAACCGCUUGGACUCAGGGCGCCCACAUCCCUCUGAGUGGUGUUCAAAGCUGGAUAAUGAAGGUAUAUACAGCCUGCCAGUCCAAGGGUCCCCAUCAACCAGUGUGGUAAAGGGCUCUUCCUCUGACCCCUCCUCUAUGUCUAUGUGCCCUGGUGGCAGGUGCUCCAAGUCUCUGAGCUGAGGGGUGUAUGAAUGCAGCUGUGUUUGUGGAUCCAAGUUGGCCAAAGGUGCCUGUUGCUCAAAUAACUUUCCUUAUUGGGAUGCCUUCUCCUGUGGAUUGGACUCCUGAUCUCCAGGCCCCAUGGAAAUGUCAUUAGUUCUCACAUCGUAUUCAUAUCUGGGGGCAUUGUUCUGCUGGGUGGCGCCUGCUGCGUUAGUUAGGGAAGUCUCUCUGGUGCUUUUCUCAGAGUCACACAUGAUGUCCAUCAAAUAUGAAGCAUACCCCACGUGUCUCACCUCCAUUUCUUCCCAGGGGGACUCCUGGUCCUCACUGGGCUCAUUCAGGUCCCACACAUCAUCGGUGUUUUCUAUCAUGCUUGUAUCCUUCUGCGAAGAUUUAGACUCCUCAAAAAUAUUGAGGGUGGUAAAGUUCAUCACAAUUUUUUCAGCAAGUACAAAGAAUCUUCUGUCAAAUUCACUUCCAUAAAUCAAAAUCAAAUUUGCUGGGUGUUUCUCUUUGCCAACAUGGGUAUAUCUGUACAUGAAAAAGCCUGUCCACAGAAAAAAUAAACAUGGUAACAGAUAUGGGCAAAACAUACCAGAUUUUAGCCUUCAACUCUGAUGUUUGAUCUUUCAAAAUGCUGACACACUGCUUUUCAGAAGGCUGAGUGAGGCGAGGAGGGGCUGGGACCAAGGACUCUGCAAGAACGCAAUGCACAGUGUCUGGCUCCAGCCAGCUGAGCACCAGCGUGUGGUUAGUCACACACUGGGACCACGUUCAAGUAUAGGCACUGAUUUUUUAAAAAUGAGGAAAACUAAUGACAUUCCCAGCUAACAAGAAGAAACAGAAAAACAAGCAGUCUUCUAAACUGCUUGUGCAAAUAAAAAUUAUUGCAACUUUAUUGGGAGAUGAUUUGGCAACAUUUAUCAAAUAUCUUAAAAAUGUGCAUGCCAUUUGAACCCAGAAUUCCACUCCUAGGAAUUUCUUCUAGAGAGAUAACAGGACUAAUACACAAAGCAAAUCACACUAAAAUGUUCCCUGCAAAACUAAUUUCCAAAUUAAAAAUUGGAAGUGAUGGGCACUCCCACUGUGGCAAAAUGGAAUUGGCAGAGUCCUGGGAGCACUGGGAUGUGGGUUCCACCCCUGGCUUGGCCCACUGGGUUAAGAAUCUGGUGUUGCUGUUGCCACAGCUGCGGCUUACUUCACGCUGUGCCUCAGAUCUGAUACCUGGCUCUGGAGCUCCAUAUGCCAUGGGGUAACCAAAAAAAAAAAAA